Molecule: transfer RNA, 60 nt
Filed under: Hyalella cajasi
Lineage: Eukaryota; Metazoa; Arthropoda; Malacostraca; Amphipoda; Hyalellidae
Description: tRNA-Ala
Source: RNAcentral
AAGAUAAUAGUUUAUAAAGAAUAUUUGAUUUGCACUCAAAAGGCACUUAUGUUUAUCUUA